AUGUUUCCACUUUUGGAGCCUUUUUCUUGUAAUUGCUCAGUUCAGGGCAGCAGACAACUUCCCUGGCACCAAAUGGGACAAUGCAAUGCUCAGCCUGGAUCAGCGACCACAGGACUGGCCCUAGCCGAGCAAACAAGUGCCACCAGAGGAUGCUGCUGCUCCCAUGAGGGUGUGACUUUGUGGCACAGGCUGGUGGUGGUCUCGGAGGACACCUCAGACAGGUUGGCUACAGUGACUCAUGGGCUGCCUAAACCAUGCUGCCUGUUGAGGUCCAUCAAAAACCAGUCCUACAGCCGUGUCCCCUGCAUCAGCCCUGGAAAAAUCCAGAAGAAAUGAGAAAGCAGAGCCUCUCUGCAAACCAAGUGCAGCCGGGCCUCCGAGGUGCUUUGUGCAGCGCAGGAGUGGGCUCUUCUCCAGGGAGCCUCAAUCCAAGGCGAUAAGGCAGACAAAGCAAGCACGGAGAAAAACAGGCUCUUGGCGGAGAAAUGACAAGCCACAUGCAACGGGACACAGGAGACACCCACUCCCUGCCCCAUGUGUUGCACCGUGAUGAAUAACCAACCUCCUCCGUGCAGCGAGACACCUGGACCUGGUGCUGUUCCCUUGGGUGAGGAGCAGAGGGUCACAUCCUGGUGCCCAUCAGCUGCGGUGAGUGCUGCUAGUGGCAGCACAGAGCCUCUCGUUCAUCCCACCCCAACCCAGAGAGUCUGAAGCAUCAAAUGCAUCAGUAUGGUGGAGGUUUCCACCUCAAGUGAAUUCUUUUAUUUUAAAAUUUUAUUCACCAAGUUUUAUAUUUUGGGGGCCUUUAGGAAGAUUAAAUAAAAACCUACAUCAAAAAUUACGUCCCUUUUCA
This 853-nucleotide long non-coding RNA is filed under the name Anas platyrhynchos platyrhynchos (common mallard). RNAcentral describes it as "lncRNA (ENSAPLG00000030150.1)". The record is from RNAcentral. Lineage: Eukaryota; Metazoa; Chordata; Aves; Anseriformes; Anatidae.